UUCUAAAUGAAAAACAAACAAUUUAGGAUUAACUAGGAAGAAAUACAGUGCUUUGGGAACAGCAUGGCGAAUCACUGCUUCCAUCCAUCUGUCCUCUUACCCAGCUGUCGUCUCCAGGUCGCUGGCCUUGCUCAGGCCGGGGAGGGAGUAGCAGGUGGUCCCUGCUUCUAUUUCCCUCAUCCUCACCCUCCCAUUAAUCACCCUCUUCUGGAACUCCUCUCAUGCAAAUUCUUCUCUGGCCCCCAACACAUAAGGAUAUAAGAAAGGCUUUUGUGUAACUUGGAAAAGGAAGGUUGAAGCCCAGAAUUGACACAAGUUUUCUGUGUAUAACUACUGGGAUUACCAAGUGGGGGGAUCCUUCAAAACCAGAGACCUGAGAUGCCCUUUCACUGGGUGUGGGCUUCCAGACUGGGCAUCAGGAGCGCAGUGACAAUGAGAGGAAGGAAGGCUGUUCUGGCAGGGCCACCGCCCUCAGGGACGCUGGUGGAGAGGAGCACUAACUGCUGAGCGCCUGCCCUGCAUCAAGUUUGGCAGGCGGGUAACACAGCCGACGCUCUCCAAGAGAUCGGGUCCCCGUUUUAGGGGGAGCAUACUGUUCACAAGGAUGUAAAUGCUUUCCCGGGACUGUACAGUAGCACAUCCAGUGGAAGCUAUGCAGACAGACAGUAAUAACUUCUGAACAUUAGACACUGGCAAGAAAAUAUUAAAUGAAAGUAGAUAGGGCAUGUGUAAAUCUUCUCUGGUGACAAUAAUCUAGCAUUCCGCCCUCUCCCAAGUAUUUCUAAGAAGAAAGAAACCCUUUCCUUCCUUCCUUUAGACUGAGAAACACAGCCCUCCUGCUACAGAAGGACACUCCCUAAAUUUCUAUUCCUAUGACUCCCAAUGCCUGGGCCCAUUCUCCCACUCAAUACAUUUUUGGGGAUCAGUUCUGGAAUCUGUCACCAAAAAGGUAAGGUUUCACUUGUUUUUAAAGCUUCUUUAGCAUUAUGAUCUUAUCAAUAAUGAGCUCCAAGGAACUACAACAUAUGAAAAAAACAAUUCCUAUAUACCAUAGUGAGUGGAUGCAAGACAUAUGUCCAACCAGGAUAGAAAAGUCUGGAGUGGCAACCACUUCAUUUUCCCCCAGAUACCUAGGAUUUUUCAGAGAGGAGAAAGUAACUUCUUAGCACAUCAGACUAAGGUACUCAUCCCUGGCUCACCUGACUAAUCUUCCCUGAGAAACGUUCUAAGUAAUUCCUGAGACAAGUUUGGAGCUAAUUUUUCAUAUUGAUAACUCAAUGCCUUUGCUUUAAAAAAAAAAAAAAAAAAAAUCUCUCCACUGGGAGAGCUGGGUGGCAGCCAAGAUUUCUAUUCUUCUUUGCACAAUGACACUAGUAAAUGGGCUAAUCCACCACUAAUUAGCUAAUGUAACUGUGCUCCUCAGAGAAAAGUCUGCUUUCAAGAAAUACAAGAUAGAAUUUGUUCAUAAUUAUUGCCUAAUCCUGGACAGAAUUCUUUAUUGAUUUCCUUUCAUUCCCUACAGGCAAGAGGUAUUUCUAAAAGGUCAAGAGGUCUGGUGCAAAAGGUAGGGGAAAAGACGGUGAUUAUCGCACAGAAAAUAGCCCUAACCUCACAAAGAAGGGGCUGGGAUGGUUCUCUUCAUUUUCCUGGCAGAUCCAGUUAAUGGAAUUUAACCAGCCAGUGCCAUGGCAGCUCUGCAGAGGGCACCGAAUGCCUGACUGGGGUGGAUCAGUGGCAGCUGCGCUGAGCAAGUCCCUUCCAGGGGAAGUGGAGGUCAGAUGCUGCCCCCGGACUGCUCCAAGCAUCUGGUACCACUCCCCUGGCCAGCUUAGCUCAGGACCUAAUUUGAGAGCACCAUGGAGGUUGGGAAGCCUGUCCUCAGGUAAGUCUAUUAGAAAUAGUGUUGUUCAACUUUGGUUGUAUAUGCGCAUCCCCAGGGGGCUUAGUGAAGGUAACCCCCAACUCUAAACCAGGAAAUAAGAAUCUCAACAAUAGGGUCCUCAAGAUGUUUUUAAAGGGCAAAAGAAAAAAAAAAAAACCCUCCUACUAUGCAGCCAAGGCAGAGACCCAUGUUUUUGAGUGGCUCCACCCUUCAUGAAGACUAGAUGUCCAAGGUCAGGCCACACAUAGUUGUUCUUUAAGGUCCCCUGGGAAUUUCAGUGUCCAUCAGGAUUCUAGGUCAGUGAUUCUCAUUACCUGGGAUCUUCUUGAGGAUCCUGCUUUAUUUGGCCUGGAGUGAUUCGGAAGGUGUGUAUACCUAACAAGCACCCAGGUGAUGCUAGGACUGCCAGCCCACAAGCUACACUUCCAGGAGUGAGGCGACUUAACCUAAGGGAUAGGGCCUCAUGCCAGAGUGGGCUGGCUUCUUGCAAACUGCAGAAAUAGGUUUUGUUUUCCACAGCUAACCAGACUCCCCACCCAGCAUACCUCAUUGUCACACUCAGCCAGGACCUGGUCAUAUUCACUCAGAGCAACCAAAAAAAUAAUGGAGGUGACACUCUCAAAGCAGUGAAUCCAUUUCCGUCUUUCAGAUCGCUGGCCACCAACAUCCACCAUCCUGUUCAAUAGAAUAAACAUAGGACUCUCUGGGGGAAAGCACAUGGAAAUCAGCACUCUUUAGGGUCCUCAAUAAUCGUUAAGAAUAAGAAGGGAUCCUCAGAUUAAAAUGCUUGAGCACCACUGCUUUAGGCAUGAGGAGCCGCUGGGUGUUUCCUAGCAAAGGAGGCGACCAAAUGUAAGUGAAGUUACUGAGGAUGCAUGCAGAGGUCACUCAGAUGGAGCCUGCUUGAGGAUACUGGUCAGGGAGCUGCUGCAGUAGUCCAAGCAGAAGUUCAGGCAUCACUCGGGUGGUGCCCAAACCAUCCCAGAGUGCCAGGAAACCAGACACAAAAGGGCAGAAAGGCAGGCAGGCUUCUGGACUACUCGCCACCUCUUGUUUCCUGGCCCCUGCAGUUAAUCCAGAGAUUGUGCAUUAGCUGAAUGCUACCCCUUCCCUAGAAAGACCUGCAGGUGCCCUCUGUCUGAUGUGGAGACCCAGAGCCUUAAUCUGUGUCUUUGGGACAAGUUCAGGUUGUCAUAGCCCAAGGAUCAGUCACAAGCUUGAAUGUUCCAGGGCUCGGGCAGUUUACAGAAAUGAGUCCGGGGACCUCUCUUAGGUAGCAAAGGAUACACUUCAAGCAUGCUGUGCUGGGCCCAUCUAGAGGGAGGUUUUGGAAGGGUUAAGCAGAGAUUGAUUCUGAAAAGGUUUAGAUAAAUUCAUGGGCAUACAGGCAGAGGGCAUGUGCUCACAGAGAUGCCGAGUAUCAGACCAGAGGGCUCCCCCAGCUUGACAGCACUCCAGCAGCAUGAGAUGCAGGCUAGACAGGGCAGGACUGUACUUGUGCUGUCUCCAGACAACCAUGUGUAACACGUAUGAGGAGGAACAAGGGAAUGAACAGAUAUAAAAGUGCUUUGAAAUUUGCAAUGAUAAAUCUUGGAGCUGAGAAUAGAAGGGAAGAGAAAUAGUCAACUUCAGGGAAAAGACCCCAGUAUUGCCAAUCUGUGGGUUACAGAAAUAUACAUCUGUGUGUGUGUAUGUGUUACACACGAGAAGCAUUCCAGACAUGAGUAGGGAAUGUCUUCUUCUCUAAGGGGAAUAGAAAGAUGUGUUUGUAUCCACUGUACAACUUGAAACCAACCACAAUUCUAAUACCCUGUGAUGGUGAAGGCCAUUAUUGCCCUAAGAGACAUAAGCCCUUUUAGCAAUAACACACUGAAGAAUCCAUUUGGGGACUUCCAAGCCUGGAGAGACAGAUUCUUAAUGGACCGUGUCAAGGAGACAGACUUACCGAAAGAUGAUGUUUUCCAGGUCAAACGGAUACUCAAUGAUGCCAGUGGUGGGCACUCGGACACGGAGCACAUCCUGCUGUGUGGGCACGAACGCUGGCAUGGCGAUCCGGUCAAUGUCCGUCAGGUAACUGGUGUUAGAGAGCAAGAUGCUGAGAAGGGGCAAUGCCCACCCGGAAAGUCACCCCAGCUCCCAGCCACCCCUACUCGUUCAUGGAUUCAUCAGUGACUUUCCUGAGAAGCAACCAUCCCGCCCUCCUAAAACUGUGUGGAGAGUUUGGUGAGCCUGCUGAGACUCAAGUUUGCAGCUCUGGUCUCCCCUCCUGGUUCUCAGCUGCAGCACUCUGCUGGGGAGGGAGCCAGCCAGGCCACAGGGGCAAGACACAGCACCUGGCUCUCUCACAUUUCAUCUGUUCUCCUCUCACAGGCCCUCCUCCAAGAACACUGUAGAAUGUAGAUGCUGUGCUUGGAUACUUUACUUUGCUCAAUGAAUUAGAGGUAAGGAAAAUAUAAAAGCAUAAAUCAGGCCAAUGGGAAGUCCUCUCAAAAAGUUCCUUGUUACACUGAGAAACUGAACAUCUCCUAAAAUAACCCAAAACUUGUCUUGGAUUAUUUUGGGCCAUAUAUUACAGCCCAGGCUUAAAACACGUUUCUUUUUCUGUGGUAAAACAAGAAGACACUUCUUUUUAAAUGUUAAGGCCUUUGAAAAAAGGCACUUUUGAGUAAAUAACUGAGGCCCUGGACAGUGACAGUGCUGAUAACUUGGAGCCCCCCGCACAUGGAGGUGGCCCCACCUUCUCCCGCACGGCCCACACAGGCAGAGCUCACCUAGGUGUGCCGCGGCUGAACAGGUGAACCACCAGGGCAGCCUUCUGUGACCACAGCCCCAGGGCUUAGCGCCAUGGACUUCUGAUGCGUUAAUUCAUGCCUGUCAGGCUUCCUUGGUGGCUCAGAUGGUAAAUAAUCUGCCUGCAAUGUGGGAGACCCAGGUUCAAUCCCUGGGUCGGGAAGAUCCCCUGGAGAAGGAAAUGGCAACCUACUCCAGUAUUCUUGCCUGGAAAAUCCAUGACAGAGGAGCCUGCUGGGCCACAGUCUGUGAGGUCGCAAAGAGUCGGGCGUGACUGAGUGAAUCUCUGUGUCAUCCCACCAGAGCGUGUGUUCCUUCAGGGCAGAAAGCACCAGUUGUACCUAUAGCCCUUUCCUCCGUGCCUGGCACAGAGCAGACACACAUCAAAUACCUCUCCAAAGAAGCAGACAAUGGCAGCAGAGCACAUGAUUACCACUGACCUGGACCUCGGAAGCAUCUGGGGUCUCACCUGUGCCAGGUUUGAGAGUUCCCUUUUCUCUGUACAGCCCUGUCCACCACUGCAGUCACUCUCCACACUUGGUGCACUUGCCCCAGUUGUCAGGCCCGACUGAAUUCUACAGCACGCCUAGUGGGUCUUUCCCAAGCUGAUCUAUAUCAAGAGCCCUAGCCAUUCCCCAGGGCCUUCCCAGAAGCCAGGGACACAGGCUGGACCAGGGAGGACUCAGGGGUGCCCUGGCUCCCAGCUGUCAAAGGCUAUCUGCCCUCCUUUCUGCCCUUUCUGUCUUAUGUGCUGAUCUAACGACUUACUGGGGUUUCUUUUAGUUCCUUUUCCUGCUUUGCUGCUGUGUUGUACUAACCUGGAUUCAUGUCAUUCAGCACUCAGCCUGGGACAAACACCAGAGGAAGGCCAGUGAAAUUAAGGAGGAAACCCAACAGAAGGCUAGAGGAAAGGAAGAACUUAUAGAUUUACUUGACUUGGUAAAACCCAGAACCAUGAUUAAAUCAACAUGGCCUUGCUCUCCGUCCAUCAAGAGUGAAUAUAAUCUUCUCCCAGACUGUGGUAUCCUCAGAACACAGUGACAGCCCCCAAACCAGGAGUUCUAGUUCUGCCUGCUGGCACAUUUGUGUCACAUGCCCAAUUCUCAACCAGAGAGAACAAUGAAUGGAGACCAUAGACCCUGCCUGUAUGGAGCAGAAGGGCUUCUCCCGCUUCUUCCCUCCACUUGCCACUCGCCCAUCUCCCACAUAGGAGCAGAUGGUCUCCACUGGAGAAUGCGGAUGGUGGAGCUUCCCAGGAUACCCCAUUUGCCCACGCCAGUGUUUGGCUCUUCCAGUAGAUAAAAAGUGGCUCCCAGGAAAUUAUCACAGAGGAAUGCAGCCUUCUACAUAAGCUCUGGGGCGGGAGGAAUUUAGGGAAAAGACAUUGACCUGGGAUUUCAGGUAACCAAGGGAAUUCAGCCUGGUGAGAAAGACAUAUUGUUUGUUCAGCCAAGGGAGGAGAUUUGGGGGACAUCUUGCUUAGAAGAAGAGAAUAGAGGCUCCUUAGAAACCCAACAAUUGGGACUUUAGAACUAACUAGACUUUGCCACCCAGGACUCCAGGUUCAGAGGUUCUCCUGUCCACCUUUGUCUCCUCCUGGUUAGCUCUACCUGUCCAGAUCAUUUUUUUUUAACUUCCUAUUUAAGACUUGGAAAAAGGUGGGAAACAUGGUAGAACAAGAUCUUCUCUGCCUUUCAAGAUUGCCCAAACAUCCAUACUCUCCUACUUAACCUUAUCAUUCAUCCUCACUCCUUCCACAUGUGUUCAUACAUAUACAAACACAUGCUCACGUAACUCACACAUACGCUUUUCCCUGGAAAUAUCUGAAAGAAAACUGCAGCCUUAGUGCCUCUUUAUCUCUAAAGACUUCAGUGCAGUUUCCUAAAACCAAACAUACAUAAUCACCUUGUAUAAUCAUAUAUAAUGAUCAACAUCAGGAAAUUAACAGUGAUACACAAUAUUGUAGUCUAAUCUGCAGACCUUACCCAAAGUUUGGCAGUUGUCCCAUAAAUGUCCUUCAUUGGCCCGCUCUAGACUCAUGUAUUGCAUUUAGUCAGCUAUCUCUUUAGUCUCCAUUUACCUGGAAAGACUGUAGUCAAAGGAGUUGUUUAUGUCACUCUGAUCAAGAAUGACCUGACAAGGGGAGAGUUCCCUAGUGGUCUAGUCGUUAGGACUCUGCACUUCCACUGCCAGGGCCAGGUUCUAUCCCUGGUUGGGGGCAGGGUGGGGGUACUAAGAUCCUGCAAGCUGCAUGGUGCAGCCAAAAAAGAAUGCUCCGGCAAGGAUGUGCUCUUCAGUCACAAGUCAUCAUGAAGAUGGCUGGUGGAGAAGCACAGCCGAGCCCCAGAGAAUAUUCCAAGGCCAAGGCCAAAUAUUAUAAAGGGCAGAGAGGAAUGAGAAAAAGGGUGCCCUGGUUUUUAAAUAAAUUCUAUUAAGAUAUCAGAUGAAUGACUUUUGUACAUUAACAUGUGUGUUUUUUAAAAAGUGAAGUUUUGGUGGCACAAAGACAGAAACAUAGAUCAAUGAAACAAAAUAGAAGGCCCAGAGAUAAAUCCACGCACCUAUGGACACCUUUAUCUUUGACAAAGGAGAAAGAAGAACACUGAAAACAGAUGUCCUACAUGUGCGUUUCACUCAGAAAUUCCCAGGGUGACAGUGGAAGGAGCUGCUUAUGAAGUGGUGCCUUGCUGACUGCACAGAAGGAUGGCUGGCUGCCCAGGUGACAGUCCCCGUCAAGCCCAGCAAGCCCCUCCGGCUGGAAUCCAGGGCCCUGUGGGCAGCCCCAUUCUCACCAGGUCCUCGCAGGGGAAGUCCCUGUACCAUUAAUCACCCAGCACUGCAGGACCCCGAGCCUGCUCACUCAUAGGGAAGAUUGUCCCCUCCUUCGUCAGGACACCAGAGCUCCUGUUCUUUCAUCAGAUACUUAAGAGUUUUCACUGAAAUCUGUAUUCAUUAACACAAGUCUAGAUAAUAAAAGCCUAAUUGCAUGAUA
Long non-coding RNA from Bubalus bubalis (water buffalo), 7664 nucleotides. RefSeq lists it as uncharacterized. NCBI's taxonomy places the organism in Eukaryota, Metazoa, Chordata, Mammalia, Artiodactyla, Bovidae. The record is from RefSeq and is a predicted model, not a curated record. The transcript is spliced from 4 exons.